Zootermopsis nevadensis is the source of this 664-nucleotide non-coding RNA. NCBI's taxonomy places the organism in Eukaryota, Metazoa, Arthropoda, Insecta, Blattodea, Termopsidae. The record is from RefSeq and is a predicted model, not a curated record.
AAGAAUAUGAGUGUAGGUAAGUGAAAACAACUCAGAACUCUCAGUGUAGCAAUGCUGUACUUUUGACGAUGAGGAGGGGGAGGUCUGAAUUCUUUCAUUGGCUUUGGAGCAUGGAAUUUGUUAACGGCUACCAUAGUCCGCUCAGAGUGCCCACAUUGUCAAGAUCAGCACGCUUUGUAAUUUUUCGGAACAAAAACGUCCUGUUUAUUUCUAAACGAAGGACUGCCUGUGAUUUACUAUGAAUUAAUGCAACUUUCCAUGAUUGCGUUCAAAGAUCUACAAUCUGAAACUGGGCGAGAUUUCAAGACCGAUGCUUGUUUGUUUCAGACGAGGGAGACGAAUGUGCUGUGCUUUUACUCCUUGGAGGACCUCCUCCUACCGUGCAGUGCAGAGAUCCGCUUUCCUGUAUCAAUGAGUGUUCACUGGAUCCAUGUUUCAAGUGCUCUGCGUUGGAAAGAGGGGAAUUUUAUCUCCACAGCCCACUGCAUCAGGUAAAUCUACAAAAAGAAAGAAUCACAAUUCAUGUGGAGGCAAACUCACGCACAAACUAUUUUGAGUAUGAUUAAUACGAGAUUUUACUCAUCCCACAAGAUAAUUUUACUAUGAAGAAUCUAAUGUACCAUUUUGUUUAGCAAUCUUCUUUAUUAAAAAACUCCUUCUGUGA